RNAcentral lists this ribosomal RNA (481 nucleotides) under uncultured bacterium. Its description in RNAcentral is "partial 16S ribosomal RNA". It matches the Rfam family "Bacterial small subunit ribosomal RNA", at positions 28 to 507 of the family's 1533-position model. The record is from RNAcentral.
GAUGAACGCUGGCGGCGUGCCUAACACAUGCAAGUCGAACGAAGCACUUUAUUUGAUUUUCCUCGGGACUGAUUAUUUUGUGACUGAGUGGCGGACGGGUGAGUAACGCGUGGGUAACCUGGCUUUUACAGGGGGAUAACCGAUGGAAACGGCUGCUAAUAACGCAUAAGCGCACAGCAUCGCAUGAUGCAGUGUGAAAAACUCCGGUGGUAUAAGAUGGACCCGCGUUGGAUUAGCUAGUUGGUGAGGUAACGGCCCACCAAGGCGACGAUCCAUAGCCGACCUGAGAGGGUGACCGGCCACAUUGGGACUGAGACACGGCCCAAACUCCUACGGGAGGCAGCAGUGGGGAAUAUUGCACAAUGGGCGAAAGCCUGAUGCAGCGACGCCGCGUGAGCGAAGAAGUAUUUCGGUAUGUAAAGCUCUAUCAGCAGGGAAGAUAAUGACGGUACCUGACUAAGAAGCACCGGCUAAAUACGUG